Molecule: long non-coding RNA, 231 nt
Filed under: Olea europaea subsp. europaea
Lineage: Eukaryota; Viridiplantae; Streptophyta; Magnoliopsida; Lamiales; Oleaceae
Source: RNAcentral
CACCCCCGCCCCCUCCACGCUCACUCGGGAGUGAUAAAAACCCGGGCUUUAAUCUAAGUUGAAUCUCGAUGUAGCUUCAUCUUUCCUUAGUUUGAAUAUGAAUAUUCGGGUUUUUGAAUCGCAAACUGAUACUGGUAUACAGCUGUUUGAUUCUAUAUUCUUCAUACUCAUUUUUUGUAGCCACUGGCGACUCUUUGUCUGGUAAUACGCUAGAUUUUUAUUACCUUGUUA